This 253-nucleotide ribosomal RNA is filed under the name uncultured bacterium. RNAcentral's name for it is "partial 16S ribosomal RNA". It matches the Rfam family "Bacterial small subunit ribosomal RNA", at positions 524 to 776 of the family's 1533-position model. The record is from RNAcentral.
UACGUAGGGGGCUAGCGUUGUCCGGAUUUAUUGGGCGUAAAGAGCGUGUAGGCGGCCAGGUAGGUCUGCUGUGAAAACUCGAGGCUCAACCUCGAGACGUCGGCGGAAACCAUCUGGCUAGAGUCCGGAAGAGGAGAGUGGAAUUCCUGGUGUAGCGGUGAAAUGCGCAGAUAUCAGGAGGAACACCUGUGGUGUAGACAGCUUACUGGACGAUAACUGACGCUGAGGCACGAAAGCGUGGGUAGCAAACAGG